Gekko japonicus is the source of this 276-nucleotide long non-coding RNA. RefSeq lists it as uncharacterized. NCBI's taxonomy places the organism in Eukaryota, Metazoa, Chordata, Lepidosauria, Squamata, Gekkonidae. The record is from RefSeq and is a predicted model, not a curated record. The transcript has 4 exons.
AAAGGAAAGAAGAAAGAAGAUCCUAAAUCCACGGCAAAGGAAACAGAUAAGAAGGCUGAGGAGGCCUCAGAGGCUAAGGGUGAUGAUAGCAAGAAAUCAGAAGAUAAAAAGGAGUCGGAUCAGGGUACCGUGCAAAACGCCUUGUUCGUAGAAAGUGACUCAGAUUCGGAAGAAUUCACUAGCAAUGAAGCGCUGCUGAAAUACUUGAAAAGCUUUGAAAUAGUGGAUGAAGAUGAUGCGGCAUUUAUACUGAAGAUUACUCAGAAAUUUACGGAU